Lynx canadensis (Canada lynx) is the source of this 538-nucleotide long non-coding RNA. RefSeq lists it as uncharacterized. The record is from RefSeq and is a predicted model, not a curated record. NCBI's taxonomy places the organism in Eukaryota, Metazoa, Chordata, Mammalia, Carnivora, Felidae. The transcript has 4 exons.
UUUGGCGAUGUCAGUGCUUUGGAUUUGGGCCAUUCUACCAGGUGAGCUAACCAGACCUGCAUAGAUAGAACAGUAUUGACUGCCGCAAUAUCUUACCAAAGUAUUACCUGCAGAUUUCUGUUUAUUUCUGGGAUUUGCCCUUGGAGAAUUGCAACCAGCCCUCUGAAAUGCCAGUUCUGGAGGCUGGCAAGCCCAAGAUCAGGGUGCCAGCAGAUUCAGCGUCUGUUGAAGACGGUCUUUUUGAUUUGCACAUGGCCUCCUUCUGUAUCCUCACGUGGCGGAGAGAGAUCGUCGUCUUCUGAUCAGAUCUUCUGAUCACACAUUGGAGAUUAGAGCUUCAACAUGUGACUCUGGUGGGCAGGAGGGAUCAACAUUAAUAGCAACAGGCUCCUCCAUACCUCUCCAACUGAAUUGUCCAUCUCUUCCUGAAGAAGACCUACUUCAUAGGCCAGGAAUUUCAAACACAUAUUGCCAUGCUCAUUUCUACUUCUUCUUCUUCUUUUUUUUUUUAAUGUUUAUUCAUUUCUGAACGACAGAG